Molecule: long non-coding RNA, 41618 nt
Filed under: Medicago truncatula (barrel medic)
Lineage: Eukaryota; Viridiplantae; Streptophyta; Magnoliopsida; Fabales; Fabaceae
Description: long non-coding RNA (MTRU_LNC005885)
Rfam family: MIR2655 microRNA precursor family (bases 13916-14193)
Source: RNAcentral
AAAAUAAUUACCUUAUUAGAUGAUUAACCAAUUAGGCGAGGAAGCCCUUCACAAAAAUAUUGGUACUUUAUUUUAACAUCUACUCUUUUUCAUAUAAGUUGGUUUUUAAGAUUAGAAUACAUAAUAAUUAGCCCAUAUAUAUUUAAGCAAAAAUAAUUGUAUGUAAUCAUUAUAUUGCAAUUUCUUAUGUAUUUUUAUUAAAUAAUAAUAUAAUUUGAAAAUAUUAAUGAAUUAAAUAUUGGAUUUUUGUACAUUUUUCGAAGAAGUGUAAAGCUUUUUUUUUUUUUUUUGACGAAAGAAGAAGUGCAAAGCUGAAACAACAAUUAGUUGAAAUUAAAAACGAUCCAGAAGUCCUAGCUCAACUGGCAAAAUGCCGAAAUUGUUAGGUCGGAUGCCAUGACUGGGGUUCGAACUCCGGUACCUCCACUUGUGUGUGUGAGUUUAUAAUGGCUUUGCCAUUUCGUCUAUCUACCAAAAAAAAAAAAAAAACGGAAUUUUUUAUAGAAAGUAUCAUUAAUUUUAUUUCCUCUGUGUCAAUUUUAUUUUUCAAUCAUUGUAUUUUUUAUUUUUUAUUUUUUACUGCACAUACCCCGAGAAAUAUUACUAAUUGAUCAAUAGCGUUGCAUCAGAACAAAAAAAUUGAUCAUUAGCUGCUUUUAUUUUUGGUCAAUGAUCAUUAGCUACUUUAUCUCCUAUAUAUGUGUUUCCACCGUAGUUUGUAUAUAAAGAAAAGAAAUAAUCCACUAUUUAUUGAUUUAGAGAAAUGAUAUUUGAACAACUAUUUUAUGAUAAUUUUUGUGUUAGUUUUUUCUUUCAUAUUUACAUUGUGAUUUUACUUUUUCUCACCAUUGUUUUGAUUUUUGUGUCAAUACUCAUAUUUCUUUGUGUAUUUAGGUUGUCCCAGGAGUUGUCAACAUAAUUGGUUGUUCAAAUAAUACUCUUCAACGAAGGAUGGAUUCGUAUUCACAAUUGCUCCACUUGUCAUCUGUAGUACGUGGGAGGUCACAUUGCUAUUUCAAAACAAAAAAAUAAAUAAAAAAAAGUAGCAAUACCCAAUCCUACAAAGAGUACAACCAAUUAAUUAGCAUAGUAUAUACGAUAAAUUUAGCUUGAGUUAGAUAAAAAUUGACUUUGAUAACCAAGCUUAAUGGCAACCUAGGAAAAAAAGAUAUAUAUCACAAAAAUGAACCGCAUGAAUAGUUUAACUGUAUACACAAUGAAAGAGUGGAGCCCAUGGAAGAGGAAAUGUCUAGGAACAGGUAGACAGUUAUAUCAGCCCUCGAUAUGUACCUAAUUCUUUGUUUAUUUAACACUCUCUUCACAACUCAACUCACAUGACCUUGUUGCACCAUUUUGCAAGCUAAGUAAGUACCCAUUUUUUCUUCUUUUAAUUUAUCUUAAAUUAGUUUAAAUUAUUUUUUAUUUUGCCCCUACCACGUUGGUUUCAUAAUUUCAUUCUUUCAUCACUUUCCUUUAACGCACUUCCAUGUAGAUGGUACGUACAGAGGACGAUGUGUAUCUGGCUAAUGGCUGACCAUAAAAAUUUACUAUUAAUUUCAUAAUUUCACUGAAAUCCAUGCAAGUUAAUUCUUCACUACUUCCCACCAAUUUGGGUCCUUGGCCACGAUGCACAAAACAAAGAAUUUCAUUGGGCCUUUGAGAUUGUUGCUAUAUGUAACUUUGGUCGUAAAAAUGGGUAUAAUGUUCACAUUUGUAUGCACUUUGUCUGUUAAAGCUCAAGUAACUAUAUCAAGUGAAAGUAAAAAAGUACAAAUAAAAAAUUACUUAAAUUCCCUUAUGUAUAGAAAGAAAAACUAGAAUCUCAUAAAUCAAAGAGUUUAUAGAAAUGAUGAUAGAGACUUUAGAGUGGUCACUUUUUUUGAUAAGGCAAAAAAUCAACACAAUGCUUCAUGAUUACCAAUUGACCAAAUUGUGUAUCAAGCAACCAUCUUUUGCUGCUAAUUUAUUGUAUAUAUGAACAGUUAUACAAAAUCACAUUGAAGCAAUCUAGGUUCCAUAUAUUAAUUUAUCAUGGCCCAUUGCUUUUUACCAAAAUUAUGAUCCGUCAUAAUUUGAAUAAAUUGAAGGAAAUAAAAACCUAUGAUACGUCAUUUUCUUCACUACAGAACUUGUAGUGUUGUUUUCUUUUAUGUACAAUUUUCUUUUCUUAUAAAUUGACACUUCUUAUUGGUUAUUAUAGAAUAAUGAUGUUUUCUCUCAAAUGUAACGUUAGCAGAUAGAUAAUUUUAAUCGAAAAAGUUAAAAAAAACUAUCAUAUUUAUCAAUAUUUCAAUGCAUUAUUAUUUACUAUGAUUUAAAUAUCUUUGUAGGUUAAAAAAUCAUUUACUACUGUUCAUAAGGUAGUACGUGUAUGUCAAUGUUUAGUUUUAAGAUUUCCUUCACACCGACAUAUUCAGAAAAUAUUCAUAAUUUAUUUAAGAACACAAAUUAUAUCCAUUGCCAUAAAAUGACUUUUACACCGUCAUCCGGUCAUAAUCAUCAAAUCUUUAUUAAAAUUUAGCUGUGUUUGUCGGUCAUAAUCGUCAAAUUAUUAAAAACGCUUAACUUUUUUUGCAAUAAGUUCUAAAGUCUCUCGCAUGAUUGAUUGUGUUGUGGUGACAUAUGUGUAAAAAAAAUUACACAGAUAGUUAUUGAAAGUCAAACUCUAUAUUCAAAAACAGAAAAAUACUUUUAUUUAUUCUUAUUUUCCAAAAUGAAAAAGAUUUUAAUUCUAAAUUUGCCAAAUUCAGCAAGGAAAUUAAUCAAAGAUUUGAUUCUACAACUGAAUAAACCUCUUAUCCCCUCACCAUAAUUCUACAUUAUCUUUUCCCCCUUUAAAGGAAAAAGCUCAAAUUCAAAAAAAAGCUACAAUUCAAAUUCAAAUUUUUUAUAAGACAAAAUUAGAGUGCCAAAGCAGAAAAUAGUUUAAAAUUUAAACUUAGAGAAGAAAUUAAUUUAAGAAACUGCACCCUAAAUUAAACUAUGCUACACUAGCACUCACUAGAUAACAUGUCUAAACUCUGGCCCACAAUGAUGAUGAUAAUUGAUGAAAUCAUCUCCACCGUUAGAUGAAACGCCGAAAAUUGAACUGUGACUCAGAAGCUGUUGAUGUUGAUGAUGAUGAUGAUGCUGUGAUGAUCUUUGCAUCUCUUUUUGUCUUCGAAGUUCCAAAACUUUCCUAUGAGAAUUCGAAUGCUUCGCCGAUACAAAAGUUGGACUCGCCGCUGGUCGAUACUCCGGCACCAACCUACCGGACUUAAACCUCACACCACAAGCAUUGCAUAGUGUUUUCGGUCCCAUCGGUCCUGUUCUCCACUGCGGCGUCUUAUCCGUGCCGCAGUGGAGACAUUUUCUUCCAGAACAUUCCACAUUCGGAUCCUCACGCUUCUUCACAAUUGGAUAAUUUUUGGGUGGCGCGUCGGGGAGAUGAAGUAGGCGCGUGGACCAGUCGCCAGGUGCAGCGCGUGAGCGUUUGCUACGUGCUUUUCCUGGUAGAGGUGUUUCUGGACGGAGAAAUGAAGCGUUACGAGCGGUUUCGUCAGUGGAAAAUGACGGAAGUGUGUCGGUGGAAGAUGAAGAUUCCGGUGUUUGCGGUUUAACCGCACCGGCGCCGGAGAGAAGUUGCAAUGUUUUCAAUUCUUCUUCAGCGGAGUAUGAAUCUUCCACGAAAUUCGAAAGCCAUUCCAGUUCCGCCAUAUCAUCAUACUGUGAAGAAAAUAUUCAAAUUCAGUUUCAUAAUUGAUGAAAUUAUUAAGAACUAAACUCGAAAUUGAACUUGAAUUAUCUUCAAUUACGGUUAAAUUAAGCUGAAUUAGUGACAUUAUUACUUACCGGAACACAGAGUUCACCGGUGAGUUGAACAUCACCGGAAAAACCAUAAGGAACAAUUGUGCCUCCAAAGCGGUUAUCACCACCAGAGCCAGACGAGUUACAGCUGUCAACAGCGGUGACAUUGGAAGAGUCGGUGGAAUUUCCGGCGACAUUGUUAUCGAAGAAACCGUCAGACAUAAUCACAUCAGCAUUUGAAAAAUCAAGUAAAUCAUCAAUGGCGAAAGGCUCACACGGUGGUUUCUGGUCACCGUGACGUUUCUCCGGCGAGAAUUGGUUUUCACCGGCACCGUAGUAGCCACCGACAAAGUAAUCUUGUGCUUCCAUUUCGUUCGUAAACGCGAAAUUGGUGUAGUUUUUUUUUUAAAGUCAGAGUAAAACGCAGCGUUUUGAGUUUGAGUGAAAGAGAGAAUUGAGGAAUGUGUGUUGAGACUUGAGAGAGAAGUGUGAGUGAAGGUGGGGUUUUGAGGAGUAAGACCAAUGGCAAAAUCGUAAAUAUUUACUCAAUGAAGCAUCUUUAUUCAUGUAUAUAGAUACAUAUGAUUAAUAAUAAUUUAAUACAGGAAGUGACUUGCAAGUUCUGUAAAGUUAAUUAAAACCAACUUUCAUUUUUUAUUUUUUCUUACUUUCUUUGGGAAUUCAGAUUUUCCUUUUCUUUUUUCAUCUUUUUUACUUUCUUAUAAUAUAUUUUAAUUAAUAACAAAACUCUUUAAGAUGAGUAGAAAUUAUUGUUGCUAUUGCUUCUGAAUUUGAAAUUUUCCUUUGUAAGGAUUGAAGAAGCUUGCAUGUGCGUACUCUUCCUCUUGUGAAAGUCACUUGAGGUAACGUCAACAAUGAGUUAUUAAAGUAUAUAUGACAAAUUAAUACUAGUGAAUAAUAUGCAUUGGGUUUUUUUCAAGUACUAUACAUCUUUUUUUUUUUUUUGGUAGUGUUAAGUACUAUACAUCUAACAUAUGCAUUGUUUUUUUUUCAAGUACUAUACAUUGUGUUAGAUAGAUCACAAAAAAAGCAUAGCACAAAAUAUAUUAAUAAUGAUAGAAUAAAAUGAAACACUAAAUAAAAAAAGAAAACUUGCACACAUUUAAGUGAAAAAUAUAUAAAAAAUAAUCUUAUCAAAUUUUGAAAGUAAAUAAAAAGAUUAAUAUUUUAAUUUAAUUUUUCCUAUUAAAUUAUUUUAUUUUUCCCUUUAUUUGUGUGUUAAAUGUUAUAAUUUCUAAUUAAAUUAACGCCAACAAUCUUGCAUGGAGAACUUUGAAUAAGCGGAUUCCGACCAACUUUGAAUAAGCGGAUUCCGACCAAAGAUAAUUUGACUUGUCAUAGGCCUGCCCAUUCAGGCUCUUUGCUGUGUUCUAGUGGUUGCGGGAAAAAGAAAUUUAUAGAUCAUUUGUUCUUGAAAUGUGACUUGAGCAUAUCUUAUGUGCUUCUGAUUGAUGUCUGAAAACAUGCAAUGCAAUUUGGUGGUUCUCUUUUGUUUAGGAGGGAUAUUUAUCAUUGUUUUUAGCUGAUAUGAUUAACUUGUCUCUAGGUCAUUUGGAACAAGAGAAACUCGUGUAUCUUUUACAAUAAAGAAUUACCUAUUUGAUCACUUAGCUUGCUUGAUAGAAUUAAGCUUCUUUUUUUAUAGUGGUUGAAGUCACAAUAAAUAAGUCAAUAACCAUCCUACAAAAUUGAAUGAAUGGAGAAAGUCUCAAUUGCAACUAAAUUUUUAAACCUGAAUACAUGUAUACUUUAUUUUGAAAUAUAUAAAUAAAUUUGUAAUCUGAAGAAGAGACAAUUGUUUCCUUAAUUUUUUUUUUUUUUUUUAGGGAAGACAAUUGUUUCCUUAUUGUAUAAGUGUCUUUGUGAUGAUUACAUUAUUUUUUUUCUUAACAAUUAAAUUUUUAUCAUUAUUUGAUUUGAUUUCUAUGUAAUAUAUACUCCACAUGUAAUCUGCCAAUAAAAAUUAUAAUCUAAAUUGAUUUUCCAAGUUAAUAAAACAGCACAAAACACUGACAUAUGUCACUACAAUUGUUUUGCUUAAGAUUCUUUAUCUUUGAAGAAUUUAUACGUUAGGAAAAUUGUUAAUAAUUACUAAAAGUUUUUUUGUAUGAAAAGUAAAAGAUGAACAGAGAAAAAAAAAAGGGGAUUAGUUGAUGCAAUGAAUAAUGAUCAUGUGAAGUGAACAGGAAUCAAAGUGUUAAGCAGUAGCACAAUGGUGGGCUGUCACUUAGAAAGAAAACAGCUAUGGCCACAGACACAUUCUACUUACUUUCCUUAACAUUUCAGUUUUUAGACACUAAAUUGUGUGUAAAUUAUUCCAUAAUUAAUCCUUAAUUAACAAUGAUUAAGAGAAGAUAAAUUUAAUGUUUCACAAAUUCAACUCAUCACAAAAAAAAAUUGAUCUCUUGCAGGUUUUGUCCCUGUGACUCUUCCAAUAGUGUCCAAGUUUACAGCCGGAUUCCUCUGCUGCUAAUAAUAUUAUUACUUUGGGAAAUGUGCAAAAAUUUAAUUUAUUUCAUUCAUUCUGAUUUAUUACAUUAAUUUAGUUCAAUUAAUUGUACUUUCUACCCCUCUUGCCUUAUCAUGGCAUGUUAUUAUAUUCAUCUUCUCACGUUUUAGCACGACGUUUACAGCUCAACUUAAUCCAUAAAUGGCUAUGAUCUCAUCCACGUGGCUAGUUAGUAAGAGUUUUACUUUAAUCUCACCUGCUACAGUGCUAAAAUAGUGGUGUUUCCAUCAUUACUAUUUUCUGUUUUUAACUCUAAUCAACCCUUGUUACAAUUUUAUAUCUAGCUAAUACUCUUGGUAGUGGUAAUCUAUUCUAUGGUAUAUUCUUUGUCUCUUUUCUUCAUCAUGAUUUAGGUCAUUUAGACGCGCUAUAAGAUUAAUCAUUAAGUAAGCUACACGACAUUUAUCUUAUUUUUCUUUUUGUUUGGGUUGGACCGUCUUCAAAUGCUACGUUUGAUUUUGCGGUUGGUCAUUGUAGUCGCACGUUUAGUGUUCCAUUUUUUGUGAAACAAGAAGCUAGUAAUAGUAGUUUUACAAAAGACGUGUGUCUACUAGGCUCUUUGAUGUGGAAACAAACAAAGAUAACUUUAAGAAAUGAAUCCAAGUUCCUUUAGUAAUUAACAUGAAGUUAUGUUACUAAAUCCCUCAAUAAUGUUUCUCAUGUAUACUCUUGUUAUCGAAUGGGAAAAUCGAAUUCUUAGAACAUUUGAUUUGUUGAUAUUAAAAUUAAAGAUAUUGCUAACAAAUGUCGUAAGAGUAUUGUUUAAGAAAUCCGCAGAAAGAAAGUAUGUCUUGAAAUUACAAAUCAAAUACAUGUAAAAAUUACUACUUUUGAAUACUUAAACAUUAUCCUAAAAAUACUUGUUAGUAUUUUUCUAUAAUUAACAGUAAGUGUAUUUGAACAACUAAGAGAAUCUGUUUUCACUUAUGAUUAAUUUUAUCAUUUGUACUACUAUAUAUGAGUUUGUUUAGAUCGACCUUCUGAAUUUUUCUAUUGCUACAAACAUUUGUAAAACUGUUUAAGAGAAUUUAAAAAGUUUACGAUAUGUUCAAGAUAGUUUUCGAAAACAACUAAUCCAUGCACAUUUUGUACAUUGAGUGUUGUAUAUAAUAUGUUGUUUCAAAAAAAAAAAAAAAACAUAUAAAUAUAAAAUAACAAUUUGAUUUUGUUUUACCUUUUGUUAUAGAACUAUUAUUUUUUUAUAAAUUUUAUAUCAAAAGCGCUUAUGAUAUAAUCACUUAAGUGAGUUGUUUAUCCAAAUUAAAUAGUGACUAUAUCAUGCAUUUGGAAGAAUCUUGUAUGUAGAAUUAAUAACGUUGAGGUUAAUCUAAAGAAAUAAAUAUAAGGUUUUGCUGAGAUAUAGGACAAACUAGACUGAUAAACCUUCAUAUUAUGUGAUUAUAUUACCGUUCAUGUGACUAAUGAAGCUUAAUUUUUGCAAACGAAAUGAUUGAUUGUUUGGGUUCUUGAGAGUUGUAUAUAUAUUUAUACCGACUUUCAGCAAGUUCAAGAACAUUUUGAUGUAAAAUCAUGUGGCUGCUGGUGACAGAGCAAGCAUUUUGUUUAAUCUUAUAGUAUUUUAUUAUGCAUACAUACACAGAAUAGAAUAAGAUAAAACAAAAAUGAGUAAUGAUAGCAACAUUUUUUUUAACAUUCUCUCUAACAUUCAUUUUUUUAUUGAUUUAAAUUAGUGUAGGUCUACACUUUGAAAAUUAAAUUCACACAAAGUGAUGAGACAUGCAUUGAUUUUAUCUAAUAAAAAAGUAAAUGCUAAAGAAAAUAUUGAAAAGUGGGUGUUGCUAGCUUUCGUAACAAAAAUUGAGUAUGAUGGAUUGGGCCGGUUCAUGCUAUUCUGAUCCCAAGGUUAAUGAACCCCCAGUAACUAGUGGAUAAGGUUUCCUUACAAACAAUUAUUACCACCACAAUUUUUAUAUAAUAUUUCCUUUUUCAAUACUUCUUAAAAAAUUAUCUAAAAAAGUGUUACUUGUAAUUUUUAAUGUAAUUUUAGUUGAAUACUUUUUUUUCAAUAUACAUUUUUGAGAAGUGUAAGAAAACUCUUUUCAGCACUACUUCUUCUAGUAUUCUAGUUUAGUGAGUUAAAUUUAUACAAAUUACGUCACUGUAUUCAUUUUUAAAGAAUGCGACAUAUAUAAGUUUUAUCUAAUAAAAGAGUUUUAGAAAGAGCAAUGAUAGUAAUAUAUCGGUCACUUUAUAUUUUUAUUUUUUACUAUACAUCUGCGAUAAUGAAAAUACAUCAAUGACAAACAUAGAUGAUUCAGUAAAAUCAUAAUUCUUUGUUUCAUUUAUAAUUUUUUUUUAAUUAAUGUAAGAUGAUCAACUGUGAUAGUUAUUGUUAGACAGAGAAAGUAGUAAUUUAUCUGUCUAAAAUACAUUUCUUUUUAAUUAGUGUAAUAUAUAUUUCUUUUUUGUCAAAUAAUUUAAUGGCUAAAAAUUCACCAUUUUAAUAUAAAUAAGUGAAGAGUUUGAGGUUCGAACUUCAACUCAUAUAUAUAUUAUACGAUAUUUUUAUCAAUUGAGUUAUGUCGACGAAAUAUUUAUAUUACAUUUCUAGUUGUAUGACUUUUGAUUGGUGUUCAGUUUCACGCAUUUUAAGUAAAAAAAAAGUAAAAAAAAUAUUUUAUUUCAAGAGUAGGAAAAAAAAACUCGGUGGUUGUUUACUUAUAUAAAUAAAAAAUAAAUGUAUGUGGAACUGUGGGAGUGGUUUCUCUUUAUUAGUAGUGUGUGAUUUUUCAAUUAAAAAAAUAGUAAGUUGCAGAGAGAGCAUGCGAGAAAGGAAGAAGGGUGUGUGUUUGUGUCAGCUAUCAUGUGAGUGUGCGUUAAUUGUGUGAAGCUUGGUUCAAAAGAGAAACUAUAUUUAGAAUUUGGGUUUUCUAAACUAAAGUAAAUGGAUUGUUUUAGAGCAAAAGAUAAGUAUUUUAGGGCUAUUAAAUAAUAAACUUUUUAAAGGGUAUUUUACAGCAAAAAAUAAAUAAAUUUAAAGUUGUAUAUACACACACUAUAUGCACAUAAACUUGUAUUAUUAGUUUUUUUAUGUUGUUGAUUAUAGUAUCAUCCGCUCGCUCUGAUAUUAAGUUUCACGUUUAAAAUUAGGAUGGAAAUGAGUCCGGUUGAAUCAAAUUUGAUUUAUUUCAACUCUGAUUCAAUAAAAAUUAGUUUAAUUUAAAACUAGAGUUUGUUGUAAUUUUUUUUAAUUCGAACUCGACUCAAACUUGUUGUGAUUAUAUGUGUGUGCGCACAUAAUUAUUAUUUUUUGAACAGGGCGCACACAUAAUUAUUAUAUUCGUGAAUUUGACCAAAUUGAUUUUUCCUUAGUUAUGAUAUGAUAAUUAACUAAGUUGGACCAAAUAAUUUUUUAUUGUAAACUGAGUACCAUCCGCGCGUAAUUGCGAAUACUAAUCUUUCGAGUAUUAUGUGACUUAAAUAGACGACAAGCUCUCCCUAAGAGUUUUAACGUUAUUGCAUGUCUAAGACUGGAUUCAAACCCAGAACCUUACUUAAGCUAGAAGAAAUCUAUGUCAUCUCAUCUAAACCCUCUUGGAUCGGGACCACAUAAUUUACACUAGACUUAAUGAGAAAAAUUUAACGGACCAUUUGUGUUCCUUCAACUUUAAAAUCAAUUCUCAACUAACCAACGACCAUAUAAUUUUAUUAUAUAUAUAUAGACACACAUACAUAUAAUAGCUCGCUGAUCACCUUAAAAGACAGUAUAUAAUAUGUGACGGAUGUAUUAGAUGUAUUAAUUAAGUUAGACUAAUUAGUUGUUCUCGUUUGUUGAAUAUUUAUUUUGAGCACAAGUUCACCAUAAGGCAAAAUCCUAAAUUGGAGGGGUUUUUAUGGUUCGUUGCUUCCUCCACACGUGCGUACUCAUCCCUCAUGUCAUGUCCUAUUGCUAACAUGGUACCACAUGCACCGUACGCAACGAAUUAUAAACGCAUCAAUGAAACAUGUGUUAAUAUGGAUUCCUGUUCCUUCUGAGAAUAUGUAUUCUUUUUCAUUCAUAUUUUUGGACCACACAAUCUAGGCCCAGGGCCGUCCAUAUAAAAUUAGAGGCUCGGCUCUAACAUUAAAAAUAGACCUCUCAUAAAAUAAAAACACAAUUUUUUAAAAGAGCAGCCUCUAUUCAUACUGGAAAUAAGAUAUUAAAAAAAAAUAAAAAAAAUUAAAGUAGAAAAAGGAGAUCCUAAAAAUAUUAAAUUAAUAAAAGAAGCAAAAUAGAGGUUAUGGGUGUUGAACCAUGGACAUCACGCAUGCUAAAGCAAGCAUAAACCACGACGCUACAUCUACAAAGUCUAAAUUUAUGACGCAUUUUUUAUAUAUAUUUACUUCUACGGGCAGCAUAUUUAAAAAAAAAAAAAAAAAUUGGGCCCCAAAAUUUAGGAGGCCCAGCUCAAUAGAGCUGUUUGCACCCCCUCAUGGCCGGCCUUGUCUAGGCCCUCAUGGUUUUAGAAUUGAGAUUAGAGUUCUGCUCUUCACUCUGCACAUUUUGCUCGCGCCCUGCACUUUUUUUAAAUAUAAUCCUGUGUGAGUUAACUCACGCAGCGAGACUUAACUCACGCACCUCACAAGUUCUGCGUAACUUAGGUCACGCACCACUGAGCCUAUGCGCGAGUUAACUUGCGCAAGUUGACCGGUGGUAAAAACUGAAGCACAAAUGUUUCUUGGGCGAUAGCCAAUGAUUUUGAUUGGAUUUUACACGUUUUUCUUAAGUUUUUCACACGUUUUUGGACCUCAUUAAGUGCCAUAUACCUUAUACCACCUAUAAAAACCCUCACAUACCUCCUCUUUUCCUCACAUUUUCUCCUCCCACACUCUCCCCCUCUUUCUCUUCUUCUUCUUUGCUUCUUUAGUUUCUAGGCUUUUUUAUACGCCUUUAGGUAAAUACCGGUGGCUUUUUGGUGAAAUAGUGGUCCGUUAAGUUGGGGAAAAAGACAUCAUCCCUUGAGAUAAAUGAAUAUUGAAUAAAUAAAAUCGUUUUUAUUUUCUAAUUUUGCAUUUAAUGAAUAAAUAAAUUAGAAUGAAAAUUGAAUUAGUAUAAAAUCGAAUUUAUUUUAAGUGCAUAAAUAAUUUAGAAUAAAAUAAAAUAAAAUAGAAUAUAUAUAUAUAUAUAUAUAUAUAUAUAUAUAUAUAUAUAUAUAUAUAUAUUUAGACUUUGCGCCAUAUUGACUAAAUAAAAUAAUUUAUUGAAUCAUAUUGAAUAAAUAAAAUAUUUUCGACUUUGCAUCAUAUUGAAUAAAUAAAUAAAAAGUAGGCACUUUGCGCCACUUGACAUGCGCAACGCUACUUAACUUGCGCACAAGUUUAUAUUUGCGCUAGUUAACUAACACAAGGGCAUUUUAGGCAUGGCUGUAGGGUGCGAGCGAAAUGUGCGGGAUGAAGAGCAUAAUACUUGAGAUUAUCUACAUCCUAGCUCAUAUGUCCUGCCCAAUGGGCUAAUUGAUGUUCUACUGAGACCAAAUUCAGAAAACUAUAGCAUAAUGUGGUAUUAAUUGCUUAAUAUUAAUUGGAGUUCAUUUUUAGUCCCACUACCUUAGAAUAAGGCGUGAAAAGAACAUGGUGCAAUAUGGCUAAUUAAAAACUACUAAGAAAUAUGUUGUUACAUUAGCAAAUCUCGUGGGGGAAGAAGCUGAAAGUUGCAAUUUGGUUUAAGGGUUUUGUUACUUAAAAAUCAUAAUUGGUAAGACUCAAUCUUAUGUGCUCUUCUUCACUUAGGGCUUUGGGAAGCAGGGAUACAAUAUAUAUUAUUGCUUUCUGUUUAACUAUAUUAUUGCUCUUAAUUAGUUUAUUAAGUUAGUUUAAUUAAAUUGAUGUAUAUUACAGUACGAAACCAAGUUUAGGUUUGUAGGGUUGUAUGUCUCACGAGGCUUAGGUUUGAGUCAACUUGAUGUAGAUGUAGUGUGGCUUUGGAUUUUGUUGUAUUUUAAUGGCAAAAUGGAGCAUGCAAUCAUGUUUGUUAAGUUGUUUAAUUGUACAAUAGUUACUUCAGGUUUUUUUUUUUUUUUUUUAAAAAUAUGUCAUCUAAGUCUUAUUAUGUACAUAUAUAUACACAAUUACCAUUUUUCAUACAUUUUGUUACAAAAAUGCAUAUAGGUGUACGUUACGUUGAUUAUUAUGUUACUGGCGUGGUAUAAACUGAGUUUGUAACUUAUUCUUUGUAUACUUCUUAGUUCUUUCUCAUCUCUUAUGGGUUCCUAAUAUUCAUUUUAGAACGAUUUGAGACAAAUAUUUUGUAUAAGAGAAUUGUGUGUUACGGAGUGUAUUGUUAGCAUAAUUUUUUUCAAUAAUAAGAAGUUGUAGUCUAUCCACAUUUGUAAAUUUUAAAUAAAUUUGAAACUCAGGGAAUGGUUUUGAUGUGCAGAUCUUAUCCGGCUCUUUGCAGUUGCACUUAAGUAUCAUUCAAACCAAAAUCACAUCUGCUCUUUAUCAAACCAUUCAAACUUCCAUCGUUGUUUUAUUCUUCGUACUUCAAGUUCUCAUGGUUGAUUUUCUAUCUUUAUGUUUUCAUAUAUUUCAAUCCCUUGGGUUUUCCGAUAUGCUCUCUGGUCACCGCAUGUUGUUGUUGUUGUUGUUGUUUUGUUUCACUCCCUUGUUAAUUACUUUCUAUUUCAAAGAGUGACACCUUAUAUGUUCGAAUUUGUUAAGAGAAAUAGUACAAGAUGCAAGAGUGACGAUUCAAUUAGACGUGUGAAAAAAUAAAUCCUUGUUGAACUCGAUUGAUUAUUUUAGACAAACCGAUCAAUCGAAUCGAACCAAACUGAAUAUCAUAGGUUUAGUUUGGCUCGGUCCCCACCAAUCCGAAAAGACAAAAUUUAAACUCCUACCUUCCCUGUUUAAAGAAAGCAAGACCAAGACAUCAUUUUUAUGUUAUUUAACACCUCCAACAAGUUUGUUACCUUCCCAUUAAAUAAAAUUGUGUUUCUAUAUAACCAAAUGCUCCACGUUUUUUUGAGGAAUCAAAUGCUCCACUUAAUUGCCUACUAAAUUAAAUGGGACAGUAAUUUUUCACUUUUUUUCCUUUCACCAGACCAUUAAAACUCCAAAAGGUUCACCACCACUUCACUAUUGCCAAAGACAGUGGACAAGUGAAAAACAAAUGAUUAUAAGUUUUCUCUUUAUAAAAACACAAUACACAACAUUGUUGAAGAGGGUCUCUUACACAUAAUUGCCACAAUUGCAUCCGAGUAUGAACCCUCCCAUAAAACUGGGCAUGAGGCAUGUAUUCACCUUUGUUUCUAUCCAAAAAUAUUCACCUUUGAUGGGCAUGAGGCAGCCCGUAGCCACUGCAUUGCAGUCCUAAAACUGUUGUCAAGGACAACUCCAAUUUGCGAGCCUUUGUAGCCAUUUCCUAAUCCCCUUCGCGUAGCUUGAGAGAACCAAUUAUGCUCAAAUUCAUGCGCUUUUCCGAUAAGCAUCGUGUCAUUUAAGAAAUUUGUGUGGAAUGUGCUUAUUAGAUACUACUAUUAAAAAAUUGGCUUAAUUACUCUUUUGGUCCCUUAACUUAUUUUUUAGUUUCGUUUUGAUCCCUUAACUAUUAAAAGUUUCGUUUUGGUCCCUUAACUUACUUUUUGAUUUCGUUUUGGUCCCUUAACUAUUAAAAGUUUCGUUUUGGUCCCUUAACUUAUUUUUUGGUUUCAUUUUGGUCCCUUAACUCUUUCUCCGACAACCACUUUGGUCCUUUAUGUUAGGAUGAAUGUAUUACAGUUAAGGACCAAAACGAAAUCAAAAAAUAAGUUAAGUGACCAAAACGAAAACAAAAAAUAAGUUACGGGACCAAAACGAAACUUUUAAUAGUUAAGGGACCAAAACGAAACCAAAAAAUAAGUUAAGGGACCAAAACGAAACUUUUAAUAGUUAAGGGACCAAAACGAAACCAAAAAAUAAGUUAAGGGACCAAAAGAGUAAUUAAGCCUAAAAAAUUAUAAAUGAGUGAUGUGUACACUUGAGACCCAUUUAAGUAUCCAAAAAUAGGUGUCUCAAUUGUGGAUGCUCUUAGGGCUCGUUUCGAUUAGGUUUAUUUUGAAUUAAUGCAAUACAACUUAUGCAAAUAAAUAAACUUUUAUGUUAAUUUAUAAAUUUUCACUAACAAAAUUUAUGUCUACAUAAACCGAUUUUUUCAUAAACUACAUUUAUAAACUUAUGAAUAAUACAUAAAGACUUAUUUAUUUCCCUAAACUGUUUUGCAUAAACUUAAAAUAAGCCUGAUCCAAAGUGACGGAUUGCGCCUGUCAAUAAUUAUUUCGUCCAAGUUGAGUAAUUCAUCCACUACUGGCCCAUAUCUGUAAUAUAUCAAUUCCCACCAAAUAGAAUUGGUGUAUGUAUGUGACACAUCUUCGCCUUGACGUUCAUAAUAACGUGGCCAAAUUGAACAACUCCACAUUUUUACUUCCUAAACCUUUCUCCUCCGUUGGAAAACAUACCUUCUCCCAUGACACUCAAUGAAUCUUUAUAUUGUCUUUAUCACUUCCCACAAGAAACUUUGAAUUUGAGCGAUUUCACUUAAAGUCUUUAGCACUUCUGAUUUUCCAGCUUUCAGCAACACUUAAUGGUGACAGUUUUGGUCCUUUGGCAACACUACUCUUGAGGAUUUUAUCAACCUUAUAGACGAAUAUCCUGCUAGGAUACACAUUUCUUCUCCGUUAUGAAUGAUAACAGGAUGUGACAGAACAACUCAAAUUUAUCACAAAGAUGUUAGAAGAUGUAAUCCAGAAACUCAACAUAUAAAAAUAAAUUGAAAAAGUAUGUAUGUGUGUAUACCGUGUCUCUUUGUUUUCUGUGAUGGCAAUCACUAUUUAUUGUACUUCAUCCGUCUCUUAAUAAGUGACACAGUUGACCCAAUUACGCAUAUCAAUGUGUAAUUUUGAGUUUAAAUAUUUUGAAUAAUAUAUUGGAAAAAAUUAUGAAAAUUUGAUACUUUGAAAAUACUCAUCGAGACGAAUCUAAAGACAUCUUAUAUGAUAUUAUUUAUCUUUGUAUAUUAGUAGAAAAAUAUGAUCAAAGUAAGUUAGAUCAAAAUUGCACAUUUUCAAACAAGUCAUUUAUUGCGGGACGCAGGGAGUAGUAAGUACGUGUAAAGAAAAAAUGAAGGAUUUUUUCAAGGAAAUAGGCAUAAUAAUAGGAAAUGUGAUUUAAGCCUUUGACCAAAUGUCAAACAUCAAUUGUUACAAAACUAAAUAUAAAAUAAAUUUGGCAAAUAAGGUUUUGACUAAGUAAAUAUCACAUGGUUAAAUCAACAAAAAUAAUGAACAACUUUUAAUAACCUCUGAAAUAUAAUAUCAACUUAAAAAUACAACAUUUUUACAUUAAAGAAAGCCUCCAAUCUCAUAAAUCCAAUCUUGAUCAUCAAGAAUUCAACAAAUGCAUUCUCUCUAUUUUGGGCCAAAUUUUUGCCUUAGUGAAUUUUUUUAAGGGUUUUGCUAAAUAUAUCAUAUAAUACACAAAAACUAAUAUUACGAAGUAACAUUAGUAAAAAUAAUAAAUUAUAUUUGAAACUUAUGAAAUUAACAAAAAUAUAUAUUAAUAAAAUAUCUCAUACUAAUAAUAAAAUAAAUAAGGAUUAAAAUUUAAAUAUGUUUUUUGUUUAAUUUUUAAUAAUAAAUUUGAAGUUAGUUUCAAUAUUGCGAGAGAUUUUCACAAAAGAAAGUUCAAAAAUUCAAUAAAAAUUUGGUUUUGGGUGAAAGCAAUUUGAUUUUACUUUGAAUCAGUUUGGAUAAGAAUACUCUUACUCAACAUUAAUUCUACAAUUUCCUCCAAAACUGCAGGUAUUUGAUUCCGACUAUUUCUUAAAAACUACUUAUAUUCAUUAUUUAAUUUUGUUUGGUAAACUAAAAAUAGAUCAAAAUAAUAUAACCUAUUGUUUUUGUGGCUCUUGAAUUCACUUUUAACUGAUUUUUUUUAAUAUUGUAACUAGAUACACAAGAACCCACUCAUAAGAAUCGACAACCCUUCGUCGCCUCUGUCCCCCUACCUCCCUUAUCCAUAGUCCCAACACGAUGUAGCAUUGAUGGUGGUGAUGCUCACAAUCCUUCACAACGACACCACCUCUAAACCCCUCUUGAGGUAGCAAACCCUGGGAAUUUCUCUGGUUGUUUGAUAGAUAUGGGUUUUGGUUUGGAUCGUGUUUUAUUCGUCGUAGUCAAUUUGAGUCUCUUAGAUCUUGGUUUCUGCUCAAACCUUGCAUGGGCUGCCAAAAUUUCCACUAGCAAAUUCAUGUCCCCGACAUGUUCUGUGUUACUAUUCGUCUCUUUGAUAUUCUGCUCAUGUUGUGUUUCUCGUUGAAUUGUGAAUAGAAAGGUGGUUCAAUGUUUCUUUGAUAUUCUUAUUUUUGUAAAAUCAAAUGAAAAAUGAUUAUUUUAUUUUUUUGCAGGACCAGAAGGUCCUAGUCUUAUUGGAUUCAUCAUGCAUUUCGCAAAGUCCAAAAAUACUUUCCAUAUAAGUUACAACAUUGUGUUGUAAUCCAAGGAGUGUUAUUGGUUACAAUAAAUGCUCAUGAGCAUUUUGGCUUAGGUUUAGCAAAAGCAGUAUAGCAUUCCUGAAAUACGUAAACCACACAACACAUGCUUUUGCCAAAUUUCAUGAAAUUCUAUGCCGAAAAUGAAUUAUAAACAUGUUUAAUUCAAAUCGCAUGUGAUUGCCAUUUUCUAUGCUAAAUGACCACCAACAAAAAUACUCCCUCCGUAUUUUACUACGAAUUUUUUUGACAUUUUCAUAAUAAUUAAGUAAUAUAUGUAAUUUUGUAUUAGAAAAAAAAUUAUAAGUGAAUGUGUAACUCAAUGGAUGUGUGAUAUAUUUUGUAAUCAUCCUAAAAUUUAGACAAAGUAUUGUUUGUCUUUACAUAACUAUUUUGUAAAGUGGUAAGUGUCUCUUAAUUACAAUUUUUUUUUCAAGUCACAAUACAUCAAACGUAGAAUUCACGACAGUAGCUUAAAUUUAUACUUUAUUCUAAUCUAUAAAAAAACUUUUUUCACAAUUUCCAGAUUGUGUGUGCAUAUUACGGCUAUCUAAAGAAUGAUUGUUUUAAGUUCUGUAGGGAAUACCCUUAGCCAUCGCGAUGAAUAGAAUAAAAAUGUUCUUAUUAUCUGUCAAAACCACUAUGUAAUCACCAACAUAGUUUAAUUUUAAUGAAAUACUCAAUUAUUUAAUUUUAAUAUGAUCUAGUGAGUUUAUUGGAUCUUUCUGGUGACAGAUUCCAAUAAUAGCCCACAUUGGUUCUAGCUUAAUGGACUUAUGGACUUAGGUCGGAAACGAUUAAAUUUUCUCUCUUUUUGUUUUCUUUCAAAUUAGAUAAUUUAUUUUCCCACCCGGCUCAUAUCUCGUGCGCCCUUUAAAUUUUCUAUUUUGUCUCGUUCGAAUUUUAUGAUUUAAACAUGCUCAGAAUAUAGAAAAAAUACACCAUUAAAGCACAACAAUUUCAACAAAAUAAUUUAACAACGACAAUUUCAACAAAAUGAAACAACAAUAAAAAUUUCAUUAACAUAAUUAAACACAAAUAAGAUCAUGGAUCAACCAAACUAAAUUCUUCAUAAGAUCUAUCAAUGCAAGCUCUGAUUUCUUCGUAAGUCUUGGGCCGUAUAACACUUUCCUAAAUAUCAUAAAACAAUCUCACCAAAGAAGCGUCUAUAACUCACUCGGUUGCUUCGAACUAUACUGAUCAAAUAACGAAAACAUGGUUCUCAAAUUGUCAUCAUUUUAUAGCUUCAUUUGGAUGGACUAAACACGCCCAUCUGAAUAGACAAAAGACAGUACUCAACAUUGUCCAUAUUUCUUGUGUCGGUGUGGUUGAGUUGAUGAAAGACUAUAUUCAACAUUGUCCACAUUUUUUUUGAGUAGAACCUUUCAAGAGUCAUCCAAUGUUAGAUUUUUUUAUUUUGGGGUGUGAGAUAAAAGUUUUAGGGCAAAAGAUAUACUGUUGAAAUGAGAAAAGUCAUCAGAUUUUAAGUUAUAUAUGGACCUCCAAUAAUAUAUUAAGGGCUUGCCAUCCCUCAAUAAAGGCUUGCUGACCCUUCAGGGACCGCCUUUGGUAUUAGAAGGUGUAAAUCGCCUUUCCCAGAUUCUAGAAACUUCUAGAACGCGCACCUGCUGUCUUGGGGUCUAAGUUACUUAGGGCCCAAUACACAAAAAUAUAAGCCCAAAAGAGGCUAUAAAUACUCUUCUUGAGAGCAUUCUCAAGCAUAACCUAAUGAGAUUAAGCUCUAGUUUCUUAAUCUUACUUAGCAGGUACAUUAUAUAAAAAGGGUUCAAAUUUUACAAUCCGAAACAUAUUUUGAUUUAUAUAAUCCGACGAAUGGUAUAUCUGGAAAGAAAAAGAACAGGACAUGUGAGGAUCAAAUGAGAAAAGUAAUAGUCAACGUUAACAUAGUUUUUAAUUUAUAUACAUCGUCGAUGUAAAAAAAAAAUUACACACUCAUCCAAUGAUGUAUCAUCGCAUCAUUUAAUGAUUUUUUUUAACAAGCGAAAAUGAAUUAUAUUAAUACCAAAGGAGAAUCAGCUUUAGCACAAGGCGUGUCAAAAGCAACCUCAAAAGUACACACCAUAGUCACCUCACAAUCAAAGCAAACAAAACUAGAUUAGCCAAUACUCAAACAAACAAUCGAGUUCGACCACCAAAUAUGAAAGCUUAAACCAAAAUUAACGUGAGUAGCCAUCAUCCACCAAAAAGAAUGUAACUUAACUUUAUAUAACAAUUGGUGUAUGAAGCUUUCCUUAUGCUUAAACAAUAUGUUAUUUCUCUUAUUCUACAUAACCCAAGCACAAGAUAACCAAAUAAGGUUCAUGAAGGAACGACGCACUUGCAACCCACCUAAUGAAUGAACAAACUGAACAAAGUGGUCAUGUACACUACUAAAAAAACAAAAAUUAGUGAGGGAAAUUUUGUGAGGGAAAACGUGAAAUUCCUCUCUAAUUCCGUCACUAAAUUUUGCGACCAUGGAAUUUGUGAGGAAUUUCAUUUUUUCCGUCACUAAUUUCCCUCGCUAAUUUUGCUUUUUCUAGUAGUGGUAUGUGAUAUCGAUUAGUUUUAAAGACAUCAAUCCACUCCCGAACUAAAUUCCAAAGAGAAGCAAAAAAUAGUGCAGGAUAGAAAGAAAUGUUGUGGCGUCUCUACCCCACCACAACCACUCUCACACAACCGAGCGUCAUGAGGUAUUAUGCCACGAGCAACCAAAUUAUCCUUUGUCGACAGUCAUGAGGUAUUAUGCCAAAUGAAAUAUGAAGUUGCGUUUGUUGUAUGAACUUCCUGAGAAGUCUGCAACUCAUACACACUCUGAACCGAAUAAUCGUCGUCAGGAUGGAGCUUCCAUUGCCAACCGUCUGAAUAAUUAGUCUGCAAAGUAAUAUCAUAAAGUAAAGUCAUUCACUCCCCUAACAUCUCCUCCUCUCACGCCCACAACCGCCACCACCACUGCCAAGCCACCCCUCCUUCCUCCCAUCCCAAAUCGCACAUCUCCGACACGGUAAUUCGACUUACACAAUGGUUUCCCUCCUAACCAUGGACCUGUCCAGAAAAAAGUAUAUCUCCCAUACCAACCUUCCUCCCAAUACACUCCUCAAACCACCCUCCACCGUCAACAUCUUCCCCAUCAUGGAUUUUCGCUACCUCCCUCCACCGAGAAGAAACACUCCGGUCCCCAACCUCCAACCUCCCAUUCUCCUUGCCAUAACGAGCUUUCAACACCCUAUAUCACAGUUCCCCCUCUAUCGACCAACAUCCUCAAACACUAUUUUUCCAACAAAGCAAAUUUAAACUCCCUCCACAUCAUUUAAUUAAUUAAAAAUGCAUGUUUGAUCAUACCUUAUUAAUUGAUUUGACAACUAGAUGAAUAUGUAACUGAACAUUGUAUGUAAUUAAACAUAUUAAACGGUUGGCCCCUAAAUCUUUUUACGAGCUUCUUUUUCUACCUCUACUGUAUUUUGCACGAGUAAUUAUUUUACGAAAAGAAAUUGUAUUUUUUUGUCCUUCGGAUGGAUAAGUCUGGAAAACACCAUUUUUUCGUCUAUAAAUGUGCUUCCAUGCGACAUAUUUUUUGUAUAUUUUUUAAGAAAUCAUGGGAGGUAAAAGUAGCUCUCAUAUCUUUCUUUUGAAAAGAGAAAUAGAAAAGUGAAAAUUAAUGAUCAUGGAAAACGGGACAUAGUGCCACAUCAACCCUUAAUAGUUUCAUAUUUUUCCCUUAAAAAAAGUUUCAUAUUAGAGAAUCACAUUUAAAAUGUGAGGUUUAUAAGUGCUACUCAAUUCUUGCAUGAAAUAGACUAUUCUGUUGAGUUUAUCAUAGGAGUCAUGCUAAUGAAGUGUUACAAAUGUCACAUGUUAAAAACUUCUAUUAGACAACCAUUUAUUUAACUCUAAAAAAUUGUUUUUUUUUUAAACAGCCAAUUUUAUCGAAUCGAGUCGGCAUAAGACACACCAAACAAGAUCAAAGGGAAACAAUUACAAGGGGUCGUAUAUAUGUGCAACACCAACCUAAAAAACCGUUCUUUAUAUAUAUGAGGAACCUCUACCCAAAAGUUGAAUAAUACACCAUUUUUCAACAUAAUUUCUAUAUUUGUUACUAUUUUAACUAGUGAUUGUCAUGUAUGCACAAUUCAGUUGAUAGUUGCUAGAACAAUAUUAUGUCAGAGUUCGAAUCCGAGACUCCACACUUUUCUACGAUUAAAACAUGUAAGUUCUAGUCAUUAUGUUAUUCGAGAAAAAGACAAAAGCUAGUGCUCUCUAAGACAAUUCUAUAGCAUUCUACUUAUUAUAAAUACUUAGUCAUGUUGCCUCAAAAGAAAAAAUGUAUAUCAUCCUAAUACGGAUAUACCAUUCUUAUCCAUCUUUCAUCAUUUUUUUUUAAAAAUAUCCAUUUUUAGUUUAAUACUAUUUCUAUUUAUAAAAGAAUUUAAAACAUGCUACCAUCUGUCUUCUUUUUUGCCCUAAAAAUAAAGUUGUCUUCUUUUGCACACAACAGUUCAUGUAACUAAUGUUUAAAAUUGGAGAAACGCAUGCAAAAGAAUGAUGAUUAUGUUCUAGAUCGAGGCACGCAAACGAAAGACUUUUGUGCAUUUUAAGACUCUGUUCCGCGCAUUAUCUUCCUUCAAAGCCCUUCCAUUUCCCAUAUUUUACUGUUCUUUUUUCCCAUCCUCUCUUUCUUUCUUUCUUUCUUUCUUUAUCUCUAUCCUUCCCUUAUAUUGCUCCAUAUUUUGCUUAUAUACUCCACAACCACAAGACACAAGCCUCUCCCACUUUAGCUAAAUGGCUAUGUUGUCACGAAAAGCUUUCAAUGCUUAGGAUUAUGUUUUGUUUUUUUAGUGAACAACAUAUCAAUCAAUAUAUAGUAGUACUAGGUAAUAUUGGUAACAACCCUAAUCAUUUUUUUGUCCAAAAACAAAUCAAUAUAUUUGACUUAAACUAGUAUUUGGAUUGAAAAUUCAUAUAUGCUUAGGGUCAUGUUUUAUUUUUUUGGUGAAAAAAUAUUAACAUGUAGUACUAGCUAGGUAGGUAGUAUUGGUAACAACCUAAUAAUUUUUUUGUCAAAAACAAAUCAAUAUAUUUCACUUUAAUUGUGAAUUUUCAAUUAACAAUUAAAAAUAAUUUUUUUAAGGUACACCUCUUAACUUUGAAAAUUUGGAUAACCAUAACCUUCUUCUCAUUUCUUAUAGUGCUAAAAGAAAUGAGGAACCAUUAUCUCGCAUUGUCGCCUACUCUUAGCAUCUCAAAUCAACUAUACAUUUUCGUUAAUAAGGUUGUUCAUAAUGUAACUUGAACUUCAAUGUUAGAGACUAGUCGCCAAGUCUUUUAUUAUAUUCAAAAUUGUACUACUUCUCUCAUUUUCAAAGAAAUGAAGUAACCCUAAUUUUUCCUAAACAAAUUGAUAAAUGUACAAAUAUGUGGUAAUUAAAUUAAUCUUAGCUCAAAUAAAGUUAACUUUAAUAGAAUUUUUAUCAAGAAAGGAUAAACUUUGAGGAGAAACUUUUCAGUUACAAAAAGACCAAAUACACUUCCUUGGCUGCAUACUUGGAUUCACUUUUAGAGGAGUGAUAAACAAAUAUAGAAUCACCAAAUUAAUUCUGAAUACACUAUAGUAUUUCAAUUUUUUACCCUAACUUUAGUUUCAAAUUUAUUGGUUAACUUACAUUUUAAGAAACAAAGAGAAUAUUAUUGAUAUAAACACACAAAAAGUACAAAGAGUACAAGCAAACAGUCUGUGAAAAGUAAAAACACCACCAAAAGCCUCAAUCUUCAAAGCAACUACUCUUGCUCAUGAGACAACUUAAACUAGACAAGUUUCACUUCCUGAACACACUUCAGUCACACUUCAAAUACGGAUUAAGCUUGCUUUGUUCUCCAAUGUCGUUGUUAUUAAUUAUAUAUCCCCUCAAAAAAUAUAUUCCUUCAAUGCUAAAAAAUAUUUAAAGUUUAUUUUUGUGUGUAUCAGAGAAAUGUUCAAUCACUGCAAGUAUAAAGUUAUUUUUGGGAGUGGAUGUAUGCAUCUCGUGUAGGUACUUUUCAAAAAGUACUAUUCUUAGAUAAUUUUGUUGCUAAAAAGAGUAAUGCUCAAAGUAAUUUUCAUGCAAAAGAAAAUCUUAACCUGAAUUAGUACUUUUCCAACUCACAUUAGUACUUUUUUGUUACAGCUCCAACUCACAUUAAAAAUAGGUUUAAUAGAGCUUUAUCCCCCUGUAAUAUAGGUCAUUUUCAGGUUUACCUCAUGUAAAAUUUUGUUUUGGUUUUCGUCCUUGUAAUUAUUUUUUUUUCCAGAAUAUCCCUCUAAUAGGGCAUUUUCAGAAUUUUUUUUCGAGAAAUUUUAGUUUUUGAAUGACCUAUGACUAUUAAGGGGUAUUUUGGAAAAAAAUAAUUUUACAAAGACGAAAACCAAAACAAAUUUUUUACAGGGGACAAAACCUGAAAAUGACCUAUAUUACAGGGGGUAAAACACUAUUAACCCUUAAAAAUAUCAAAACAAUGAAUACUUUCACUUCACUCACAUUCAACUAAAAUUAAUUUACUCAAAUUAACUUACUUGCUACCAAACACCUAAACACAACUAAUAAAAGUUUGAAUUCAAUAGGUAAAAAGUUGACCAGUAUAUUAGAUUAUGGAUUCAACUCCCGUUGUUAAUGUAUUUUUUGUGUGGAUGAUCUCUAUAGAUCUUUGUAAGUAUUUUGUGUUUCGAGGCCUACUUUUGCCCUCUGAGCCCAAAACCUAAACACAAAUCACUUCAAAUCUUAAGGUUUUAGGUUCGAACCCCACUAGUGUCUUUGAAAAGUUCGAAGACUUCCAUGUCUUAAAAGUCCAAAGUUUAUAUCCAAUCAUGGGAAUAUAACAUCGUUAAGUUUCUUAAUGGAAAUCUUCACUCAUUAUAAUCUUAUUCAACAUAUAUAAGAUAAAUCUAAACAAUUGCGUGUGAGUCAAGAUCUUAUCCAUUUAUUAAUUUUUCUAUUUCUUUUAUUUGAAGAAAUAAAAACACAAAAAAUUUGAAAAUAGUGAGAAUCACUUAAUAAUUGGAUUCACUACUUUUUUGUUAUAUUUAUCUUUCAUCAAAUAAUAUUAUCAAUUUAUUUUUAGCAAAUAGGAAAGAUCUUAACUCAUUACGUUGAAGAUAUAUUUAGUUGGCAUUAAAGAAAGCAAUUAUAAUAGGUAGACAAAACGACAAAGAUGAGAAUAUAAUCUAAAUCCAGGCAAGUAAAUAAUAAAUAUGGGAAACCGCGCCGCUAGAUAAGGCUAUUUUGGUCCAACCAAUAUCUUCUCUUUUUCUUCUACUUUUCUCUGUUCCGCACUUUCAUUUCAUUUUCUUUCUUAAAAUAUUUCUCAACUUCACCUACACACAACAGUAACUUAGGGUUUCUUCAAUGAAGAUCGAUCCAACGACACCGUUUCUCAGAUUCAAAAAACUCUAACUCAUCACCCUCAAACAAUUAACUAGAUUUGGAUUUGUGCUGUGUUUGGAUUUGAUUAGAAGAAAAUAAGCUGCUAAAGCUACUAUGGCCUGCAAGGAUGGUAAUAAGCACUUAAUGGAUAAUGGAAAGUAUGUACGUUAUACACCUGAGCAGGUUGAAGCUCUUGAAAGGCUUUAUCAUGAAUGUCCUAAACCAAGUUCAAUUCGAAGACAACAACUUAUUAGAGAAUGUCCUAUUCUUUCUAAUAUUGAACCAAGACAAAUCAAAGUUUGGUUUCAGAAUAGAAGGUAAUAAACUUCAUUCUUGUUGUUUAAUGCAACCUUUUUAGUUUAUGUUUGAUUCUGGAGAAGCUAGAAUUGAUUUUGACAUGUUUGGUUGGUCUCGAGUAUAAUUGAUUUAAUUUUAACUUCAAGUUAGGAUUUGUAGUUUCUAGAGUCGAAACGUAAUUUUUACAUUGAAAUUUAUUGUUUAACUUACUUUUAGAUAGAGAUAUCCAAAUAUUAAUAACUUUACCAUUCAACAAAUCAAUUUUAAAAAAUUGAUUUAUUUAAAUUGAUUUUUGGUUCGGGCUGGCAAAAUUUGAUUUUGAGUGAAUUGAUUUUGUAAAAUUGAUUGUGGCUAAAAGUGAACUGAAUCUGAAGUGAUUUGAACAAUAAAUUUGAGUGUAAAAAUUAAUUCUAAAAUAAAAAGCUCAAUUUUCUAGCUUCAAGUUAGAACCAAUUUUGGUGGCCGAAUCAAUUCUACAUUUUACACCUCUGGAAUCAAUUUUGGCUUGUUUAAAAGUGGAACCAAACAUACAUUUACGAUAAUUUAAUAAUAUAAAUAAAUUUAUAAAAAUGGUAUUAUUUUUUUUCCUUUGGUUGUGUGUUUUAACUGCAUUAUUUUGUUUGAGAAUUGUUAGUUUUUUUAUUAUGUUUUUGGUUGUCAUUAAUUUGUUUUGGUGUUAUGUUGAGGUUAUGUUUUGUUUUUGUUGUGAAUUUAGGUGUAGAGAGAAGCAGAGAAAAGAGUCUUUCAGGUUGCAAGGUGUGAAUAGGAAGUUGACAGCCAUGAAUAAGCUGCUGAUGGAGGAAAAUGAUAGGUUGCAGAAGCAGGUGUCUCACCUGGUGUAUGAGAAUGGCUAUUUUCGUCAAAACACCCAAAAUGUAAGUUUAUGUUGUUGUUGUUGAGAUUCUUGAUAGUCUGUUUAGUUUUUUCAAUUAGGGAGGAACUUUUCCUAUGUAGAACUGACAUGGACAUGACGCUGACACGUCGAUAUCAGUAAUAAUAUGAGAAAAUUUCAUAAUUGAAUGUAAUCACAUGUCCGUGUCGUGUUGGACACUAACAUGCGUCGGACACAGGACACACUUUCAAUUAGAAGUGUCGGUGCCGGAGAGAACUUUUCCCUCCCCUAAAGCACUUGGGAAGUACACAUUUGGAAAAAUACAGUUUUAAUAUUGUCUGGACGUGUGUUUUCGAACAAAAACACAGUUUUUCCCAUUUGGAUGUGUAUUUUUGGAUUCUUUGACUGUUUUUUAGAAAUGUGAGCCUAAUGACACUAUUGUGAAUGAAAGUGAUAUUUGUGAAAUUUAAAUCUUUGUCUUGUGCUUAAUUGUUCUUCUACCCUUACUUUCUUUGCAUACUCAGGCAACCAAAGACACGAGUUGUGAUUCAGUGGUGACUAGUGGUCAGCACAAUAUGACUAGUCAACAUCCCCCAAGGGAUGCAAGUCCUGCAGGGUGAGUGCGAUUGAUGGAUACUUGGUCCCUUUCUGACAUUGGUUUGUGAUAACUUGUUUGUGUACAUAUGGCUAAUGGAAUCCUGGUUUCUCUUUUUCUUUUACUUUUUUCAGGCUUUUGUCCAUUGCAGAAGAAACUUUAGCAGAAUUUCUUUCAAAGGCUACUGGAACCGCUGUUGAGUGGGUCCAAAUGCCUGGAAUGAAGGUAUCUCAAGAAUUAUUUCAUUGGUUGACCCAUUAGUUAUUAGUUACAUUAUUUAAUAAAACAAACUGGUAAAAAAACUGUAAAUCGUCAUCUUGGGAUAACUUAUCAUCCAAUGUUCCAAUAAUCUUCUUUAAUUUUGAUAAUCUUCAUUAGCAUUUAUGUUUGAGUAAUUUAAUUUUUUUAAAAAUACGUUCCUGUUGUUAAUUUUGCUGAUGUGGACAGCCUGGUCCGGAUUCCAUUGGAAUCGUCGCUAUUUCUCAUGGUUGCACUGGUGUCGCAGCAAGAGCUUGUGGUCUAGUGGGACUAGAACCCACUAGGGUAAGUGGUCCAGAUUUGCAAUCUCUAUUAUUGAAUAUCUUACUUGAGUUUAUGAAUCAUGUGGUCAAACAUACACUUUCCAGGUUGCGGAAAUCCUAAAAGAUCGUCCUUUGUGGUUUCGUGAUUGCCGAGCUGUUGAUAUUGUCAAUGUGCUGCCCACUGCUAACGGUGGAACUAUUGAGCUGCUUUAUAUGCAGGUAAAAAACAUUUUAUAAUGCAUGGAUGAAGAUUCUAGAUAUUGAUGAUUGACACUCAAUAACUUGUGUGCUUAUUGUUGCUUUUGAUGACCAGCUUUAUGCACCAACCACAUUGGCACCUGCUCGUGAUUUCUGGUUGUUACGCUACACUUCUGUUGUAGAAGAUGGCAGCCUAGUGGCAAGUGGCUCUAAAAUUCUUAGCCUAAAUUUGUAAUUGAUUAGAUAUUGUAGUUAAUAAUUGACAUUCCUUGUGCAAUGACCCAGUCCUACUGUUAUAUUUUGUAGUCCUACAACACAUAUGUCUAAAUCAUUGUUUAUGUGUGCCUUAGAUCUGUGAGAGGUCUCUUAAAAAUACUCAAAAUGGUCCAAGCAUGCCUCCUGUGCCGCAUUUUGUUAGAGCAGACAUGCUGCCUAGUGGGUACCUGAUAAGACCUUGUGAAGGAGGUGGUUCCAUCAUCCACAUUGUUGAUCAUAUGGACUUGGAGGUACAUUUAUUCAACUUGGUUCUAAUAAUAAUAAUAAUAAUAUUUUUUAACUUGACAUUAACUUGAGCAUCUUGCUACUAUUGAUAGCCAUGGAGCGUUCCAGAAGUACUGCGUCCACUAUAUGAAUCACCAAUGGUGCUGGCUCAGAAGACUACUAUGGCGGUAUGGUUGUUGUAUUUCUUUUACUGAUGGUACACCGGCAUAUAUGCGUUUGUUCUGCUGUUCCUUUUUAAGUCCAGAUUAGAAAAGAUGUUGUCAACUUAAUAGUAACAAUAAUAUUGACUAGUGUGGUUGAAAGGACUAUGACAUAAUUAAUUCUUUCUCUUUUUCAUACAGGCUUUACGUCAUCUAAGGCAGAUUUCGCAUGAAGUUUCUCAGCCCAAUGUCACUGGGUGGGGAAGACGACCAGCAGCUCUGCGGGCACUUAGCCAGAGAUUGAGCCGGUUAGUAUCUUUUGCCAAGGGGGUAUGAUUUUUGUUCUUACACUUCACAAAUAAAUGUGGAAUCUGACAUCUUCUUUGCAGGGGUUUCAAUGAGGCACUCAAUGGAUUUACUGAUGAAGGGUGGACAAUGAUGGGCAAUGACGGUGUUGAUGAUGUCACUAUUCUAGUAAAUUCAUCACCUGACAAGUUAAUGGGUCUGAAUCUUUCCUUUGGCAAUGGAUUUCCUUCUGUCAGUAAUGCUGUGUUAUGUGCCAAGGCAUCAAUGCUAUUACAGGUCAGGAUGCUUAGCAAUUUCGAUGAAUUUCUUUAUAAUGAUAAAUUACAAUAUGUUUCUUAAAACUUUUUUUCGACAAUUACUCAUGUCAAUCAAGCUCAUGACUAUUACUAUGUUAAACAUCCAUUGCAUAACGUGUACUGUCUGGCCUUUUCUUUGCGUAGUAGUUAAGCACGUGUUCUAUUAAGUAAUCAUAUAAUUUAAAUGAUUGUUAAUAGAGACUUCCAAAUGCCUAGGCAAAACAUGGCUCAGAGGGGUACUUAUAGGGACUUGUUUGAUCGCCCAUUUUCUAAUCAAUUGGUAGUAAACAUGCCUAUUUGUUGUAUCCAUAUUAUUUCUGUCCUUUGCCUGUCCUGCUGUACCCCUAUGAAAAGUAUGGGCCAGAGGAAUUGUUAAGUUACACAAAAUUGUAUGAGUUGCAUUGCACAUAUCCAGUGGUUCAUGUUAAGUUCUAUAUUGACACAUUUCAUUUCUUUUUGUCCAGAAUGUGCCUCCAGCCAUUCUCCUAAGGUUCCUGCGUGAACAUAGAUCAGAAUGGGCGGACCAUAAUAUGGAUGCUUACACAGCUGCUGCCAUUAAAGUUGGCCCUUGCAGCUUAACAGGAUCUCGCGUAGGAAAUUACGGGGGUCAAGUGAUUCUCCCGCUAGCACACACUAUUGAGCAUGAGGAGGUGAUAUAUUGGUGCUAAUUAUGCAUUAUAACUACUAUUAAUUUUAUCAUUCCGUAUGACUAACUUUUGGCUUAAUUAUGCUAGUUUUUGGAAGUUAUUAAGUUGGACGGAGUUGCCCAUUCUCCUGAAGAAAUGAUGGCCAGAGAAUUGUUUCUGUUGCAAGUAAUUAUUUUUCUUCCUCAUAUUGUUUGCUCCAUGCUUAACCUUCUUUUACCUGGUUUCCUUGUCGUUUUGAUUUGUACUCCUAACACUUUCAUAGUUACAUCACAUUUUCUAGAGAUCUUAAGGUUCAUAUUUAUUCACCCUGUAAUUGUGCUGUCUAUAUGUUUUGAACUAAUUAAGGACUUAAAUUAUUGUACAUUAUUAUAAUACUUGAAAAUUAGGAAUGAAUAAGAGAAUUUAGGUGUGGUCUCCUCGUCCUGUUUAUGUGAUGCUAUUUCUUCUCUUUACCUGUGUCUGAAAACAACAUCGCCAAUGUCAAUAUAGCUAGCUAGUUUUACUCGGUAUCUUUUGAACUCCCGCUUCCAUUAGAAUGGGGAAGCAUUCUGUUUUAAUGUGAUGAUUCCUAAGACAUAUUUGGUUGUGAUAUUCUUACAUAUAACUCACUCUAUGUUGUUUUGGUAGCUCUGCAGUGGAAUGGAUGAGAAUGCUAUUGGCACCUGUGCAGAACUUAUAUUUGCUCCAAUUGAUGCUUCAUUUGCUGAUGAUGCCCCACUUCUACCCUCUGGGUUUCGUAUCAUCCCUCUUGAAUCUGGAAAAGUUAGUUUCAUAUAUUGCCAAACUAGUUUAUUUGUUUGUAUUCACCUUUCCUCUAGAAUUUUCUUAAUUAUAGCAAUGAUAUAUUUUAUAGGAAUCGUCCAGUCCUAAUCGCACUCUUGAUCUUGCAUCUGCCCUUGACAUUGGCCCUACUGGAAACCGAGCAUCAAGUGAUAAUGCUGGAAAUUCUGGCUGUGUGAGAUCUGUGAUGACAAUAGCAUUUGAAUUUGCAUAUGAAAGUCAUAUGCAAGAGAAUGUAGCAUGCAUGGCACGCCAAUAUGUUCGCAGUAUUAUAUCAUCAGUCCAAAGGGUAGCGUUAGCACUUUCUCCUUCUAAUCUGAGUUCACAUGCUGGGCUGAGGUCACCGCUAGGUACCCCUGAAGCACAAACCCUUGCUCAUUGGAUCUGCAACAGUUAUAGGUACGUGUCUUGCCGAGGCUGGUUAAAUAUACUUAAUUAUGAUACAAGUGGGCUUGUCCUGAAUAACCUUAUUAUAUACGGAAACCUUUACUUUUCAAGAUUUAACAAGGAUGAGAUGACAACUAAACUUAAUAUACUAUCUCAUUCACGAAAGACACUGCAGCUCUGUCAAUGAUAGGUUUGGUGAGUUGUAUACAUAGAGUGGGAUAUUCUUUUUUCCAUACUGUCCUUAUCCUCUGACCUUCCAACCUUUUGAAUAAUUGAAAAUUCCAAAAUAGUUUUGCUAGCGGCGAAGCUGAGUUCUGUAAAUAGAUGCAUAUCAUAACCCCAAGUUCUGGUGUAGUUUUGCAGUUGAAAAUUUCCAACUAGUUGACGGUCUUGCAAAUCUCUUAUUUUUUAACUUCUUAUCAAAUACUUUUUGACAAAGAUUGAAUGAAAUGCUUCCAUUUAGUAUUCAAUAUCUUAGCAUGCACUACAUUAAUGGUUGCUUUUCAUAAAUUCUGUGUUUUGCUAGUGGGCUUGUUCCUUCUUACUUGUAAAUUUUAUUGCUGAACAACUGUAAAAAAGUAUUGUAUUUAAUGCUCAUUUAAUAGGCAGAAACUGGUACAUUGAUCACAGUGCUGUUUUUUGAUUAUCUUUGUUUUGCAGAUGCUACUUAGGCGUGGAGCUACUUAAAUCUAAUACUGAAGGAAAAGAAUCUGUACUCAAGUCCUUGUGGCACCACUCUGAUGCUGUAUUAUGCUGCACUCUAAAGGUAUGCUUCAAAUUGAUUUCUAUUUCAUAGGACGUGCAUUUUAUCUCAUGUAUCUCCUGUCUGCAGUGCAAUUUAUUUGUCUAAUGCAAAAAUAUAUUAAAAAAUUAGUUGAACUAUAAAAUUGGGGAUGUCAAAAUGAGCUAUAAAGCCUGAAAAGGCUGAAUUUGAAUAUUAUUUUCUCUGAAGUUUACUUAGGUUUUAUUGUAUUUUGCCUCAAGCCUUCAACUAUAGAUCCUUAGGAUCUUUACCUGUCAGUUUUGAAAACCUUAUUAUUCUUGUUCAAACCAUACGAGUUGAAAUAUCAAUGAAAUACUCUAGUUGUUUAUGUUAAAAAAAGAAAUUCAACUAGAACUAUUAUUAUAAUCUUCUACCUUCUUUGAAUUAAGCAGGCAAUGCCAGUGUUCACUUUCUCAAACCAGGCAGGGCUUGACAUGCUGGAGACUACGCUUGUUGCAUUACAAGAUAUAAGUCUGGAGAAAAUAUUUGAUGAUAAUGGUCGAAAAACUCUCUUUUCGGAGUUCCCCCAGAUUAUUCAACAGGUCUACAAUUUUUUAUUUAUUAAAAUGCACCGUUUUUUUUUUUAUUUUUUAUUUUAAAUCUAGUUUCCUUCUGAAUUGGCGGUAUGCUUUCAGUAGACCAUCAUUUUCAGGCUUUAUAAUGCUCUUUAUUAAUUUCGCCUCGUUCUCUUAUGAUAGGGUUUUGCAUGUCUGCAAGGUGGUAUUUGUCUCUCAAGCAUGGGACGACCUGUCUCAUACGAGAGAGCUGUUGCUUGGAAGGUGCUGAAUGAUGAACAGAAUGCUCAUUGUAUUUGCUUUAUGUUUGUGAACUGGUCUUUUGUUUGACAUUAUGUUCGGAGUUAUAGGUAUCAGUGUGUUAAGAUGAAGACUUACUCCAAGACAUUUAUGCUGUAUUGUUUUUGUUUUUGCUUUUGUACUUUCCCUGAAUUUGCUCUGAAGACUUGGAUUUGCAUAUGCUAUGACUAUUUGUGUUAGCCUAUGUUGCUUUUAUUCCUUCUUUAUUCUCCAGCUAAUAUUUUGUGCUGGAAAUAAUUUGCACAUCGGGUGUGUGAUAAAUUUUUAUCGAUGCUUUGACACAAAUUUUUGGGGAUUAAAAUUGGCUUAUCAUCGUUACAUCCCAAUUCACUAUGUAUGCAAAUAUGUCACGACUCGUGGUGACCUCGAGAUGAUUUCUUUCUAUACUCUUUGGCUGAGAUGAUUUCUUUCUAUACACUUCGGCUACGUGCAAUUUACCAUUAUAGAAAGUACAUGUUUCAUGUUUAACUUAACUUUGAAAUCAUGAACGUGAUUGCGCCAAGAUCUAAUAAAUGGGAUUUCCCACGUCUUUCUUAAGGUAUAUACACAAUUUCUGUCAUGGUUAAAGAUGAUAUGGCCUCAUUGCUCAACAACUAUAAUCUCAGCAUCACUUAGGGUGAAAAAAAUCAGCGUAAAUAGGAACAAAAUCAGCCUUUGAGGUACCUAUUCCUAUUCCACUGAUUUUUUUUUUUGUCUGCUCAAUAUUGGAUAGUGAUGUCUAAAUAGGAAGUAACGAGUGCUCAAGUAAUGAUUCCACUGCUUUUUUAAAAUGUGGGAAUAUAUGGCUUGUAUUGUUUCCUUCUAAUCUUUAGGACAACUUGUAAUUAAAGCACAUUAUCAAUAAAUUGUUUAGCUUAUCAAAAUAUUAUUAUGUGCUUGUGGAUAGAUGCUUGUCUUCGUCAUAUGAACAAAUCGAUAACGGCUUAAUCAUCAUUCACAUAUUCAUUGCAACUACCUUCAACAACUUUCCUUCCUCUUUUUUCAUGAUUCAUUAAGCUCCUCGUGAACUGAAAGUACAAGUAUGUGGAGGAAAGCUCUAUACUUAGCAAGUUCAUUCCCUUCUUUUGCGUGUAAAUAACUUCACCACAAAAGAAGAAAGUGGAGGAUGGGUUUUAGCCACUUCUAUUCUAAAAAAAGAAAGAAGAAAGCAUAGGGAAAGUAUAUACAUUUCACCAUGCAUGUGAGUACCUAUACGUUGUGGUCAGUUGGUAUUGGACCACAUAAAAUCGAUUGCAAAAAGAAGGAACUUCUUAUUAGUGGAAAAAGAAAUUUUUUCAUUAAAUGAAUGAAUAUAAAGAGGGCUCAUCAUAAUUCUAUCCAAAAUGGGACUGUUUCAAAAUAUUUUUUUUUCUUGAAAUUUUUAACAAUGAUACGUAAUGAAAGGAACUUUAAAACUUUGUACAAUGAUACGUAAAGAAAGGAACUUUAAAAUUUGUACCAUUCAAAAGAAAAAGAAAAGAACUAAUUUAAAAUAAAAUUUUGGCUCUCAUUUUAUGAAACUUACAAAAUCCAAUGCGUCAACCAAUUCCUCAACUUCAAGACACUAGUAGUAAGUAGCUUAAGCCAUGGGAGGUUUUUUUCCAAUGCCACACGAGAGUAAAAGUAACUCUGUCGAAGCAUAUGUUUAAUUUCAAUUUUGAAAGGUCAAAAGUGAUUUCGGAGAUUGUAGUAUUGAUUUUACAAUGUUUGGAUGAUUUAAAAGAAAAUUGAUUUUGCUUAUAGAAACUAGAAUUUGUACCUUUAUCUUCCACAAUUUACUUUAUCCUUACUUUUUUUUUUUACAAAAACUUAAAUUUAUUGUUAAAUUCACUUGUACAUAAAUACAUCCAAACAUUAAUCACUUUAUAUUCUAAUUGGCGGGUUUCGAACCUAGGAUACACUACUUAUUCAUCUUAAUAUACGAAUUUUUAUCUAUUAGGUUACUUGAUCAAUAAAAAUAAAAUUUUUUUUAGGUCAUUAUGAUCCUCAUUUCUAAAAAACAAAAUUGCAAGAAUUUUCAUAUCAUGAAUAAUAUUAGGAUUUGAAUUAAUCACCGAAGUGUUAAAACUCUUGUUGGUAAUUGAAAAUAAAAAGGCUAGCAGUAUCGGGUACAGUGAUUUGUUGUUGUUGUAAUAUUUGGGCACAUUCAAAUUCUUAUUCUUACCCAAAGUAGGAGUGAUUUUUCAUGUUUUGUCAACGCCACGUACAUUCAUCUAAUUCUUCAAUAGUGUAAGCUUGUUGAACUUUAUAAAUACCUAGGUAAACCUUUAUUUUUAGUUAAUGGCAAAAAUAUAUAAAUAUACCUAGCUAAACCUGUAAAUAAAUUUGCGGAUAUAAUUGAAUAUAUCUUCAAUAGAUAUAAGGUAUUACAUAGGUCAUCAUGCAUGUCAAGUCAAGCUUCCUAAUAGACAUAUUAGACCUUAAAAAAAUUGCAUUGAUCAUAUGAAGAAAUCAUACUCAAAUGUUAUAAUUCACCAUGACUUAAAAGUUAUAUAACUCUAACUGAACCAGACCUCAAACGUUUAAUUCACCAUGACCUAUCAUUCAUUUUAGUUUACAUAUUUUAUGUAGUCAAUUUCAAGCUAUAUGUAUGUAUAAUAUAUGUAGGUAUGAUCAUCUACUAGAACAAGGGGAAAACAUUCAAAAAAUGUAAAGAAAAUAUAUAUAGAGUAGGAAAAAGUGGCACAUCUCGUUAUUAUAAUUACACCAUUAUCAGCCAUGGAAAGAAAUCAUGCACGUAGAUGAACCAUUGGUUUCACGUGUUUUUUUACUUUUUUUCUUCGAGACAAAACUAUUCCAACCAUGAAAGUUCACUUUAGAAGUAAAACAAUUAUGUAAUAAAAAAAAGCCACAAUCUUUCAAUUUCAGAUUGGAUAAACAUUUAUUUCAAAUUUCUAAAAGCUUCACUAGUCAUUGCUUCUCAUUAAAUCUUUCUCGAAAAAUCUAGUUAGUUCACGACUUGGAAGAUGACAUUUGAGUUUCUAAGAUCCAUACACUUUCUUCCAAUGUUAUAUGCCAAAGUAUUAUAAAUAGGGUUAUCCUUUCCUUGAAAAGUUAUAAGUCUCUUUUCAAAUAGCCUCAUUAUUUAAUCCAACACAAAAACCAUACUUUUCUACAAUCAAGUUCAAUAUAUUUCUUAUCAUGAUUAUGGCACCUCAUGGAGAAUCUUUGUUGUCAAGUUCAUUCUCAAGGAACAACAAUACCACAUCAAACAAACCAACAAAGCUUUCAACUUCCGACCACCUUCAAAGAACGGUCUCCGAUAUUUCCUUCGAGCUGAUGGCGAAAGAAGCAAUUGACAAUUUAAAACUACCAUCGAUAUCCGAAGUUGAAGAUGCAAAGUGCGAGUGUUGUGGCAUGUCUGAAGAGUGCACACCCGAGUACAUAGAUCGUAUUCGCAACAAGUUCAAAGGGAAAUUUGUGUGCGGUUUGUGUUCGGAGGCGGUGAAAGAAGAGUUGGAGAAAAAUGGUGGGAAAAAAUUAGAAGAAGCAUUAAACACACAUAUGAAUGCAUGUGUUAAGUUUAACAAAUAUGGUAGGGCUUUUCCAGUUUUGUUUCAAGCACAAGCUAUGAAAGAAAUGUUGAAAAAGAGUAACAUGGAUGGGAAAAUUAGGGCUAAGUCAAUUAGUCCAAGGGACAAGAAUGGAGGAGGAGGGCUUGCUCGUAGUUCAAGUUGUAUUCCAGCACUUACAAGAGAGAUCAACAAUAUCAAAAUAGCCAAUUAACUAUCUAUCUCUUUGAGCACGAAAUCUUUAUACUAUAGUUAAUUAUAAUGUUACUAUAAGUAUAAAGCUAGUUUUUCUUUUACAUAGACCUUGUUACAAGCUAGUUGCCUAAGGUUUUUUUAGGGUAUUAUUGACCCUUUUACUUCUCAAGGCUGCUUAGUUUUUUUUUGGUCUGUGCAGUUUUUAUUUUAUAACUUCAUGAAAUGUACCGUAGAUCUUACCAAUCAUAUGUUAUGGAAUAAAAUUUCACUUGGUGUACUGAUAUCAUGUGAUAAUUAUCAUGUCAAUUUUUUCUCCGAUAUUAAUUUUAUUUUCAACAAGUCAAAAUGAAAUAUAUUAACACGAGAGAAAAUAUCAUAUCCAGAACAAAGUGUACCAGAAUAGAAUACGAAAGUCUUACAAAAGCAAUAAAUUGAACAAGACCAAAAAGUAAAAUUACCCAAUGCCCAAACAAAAAAAAAUACUAAGCCAUCAACUAUAGUAUUAAAAUAAAUAUGAGCAAAUUUGGCCUUCAACCACAGUAAGAAAGUAGCUUAAUUUUGUAAAGAAGGUGUUUAUUGGAACUUUCUUUAUUAUUAAAAAUAAUGUCAUCCGAAAUUUUGAAACACCUUUGUAUUGACAUCCAUCUUAUGUAGCUUCAAAAUUAUAAAAGAAAACUAAUAUCAUGACUGUCCUAAUAUAGUCUUUCGAUUAAACUAAAUAGAAUUUCUUUUUUCAACAAAUUCUUAAUAACACUAAAAGCCCAAGCUGUCAAACUGAACAAAAUGAUCUCGUAUUAUGUAUUAUCAAAAACAAGAAACUAAGCUUGUUUUUGUCUACUGUAUAUUACAUCGUUGGUUAAUAAGAAACUGAAAUUAAGUAACAAAAAACAGGAAAGCUGAAAGGAAAAAAAUCAAAGUAAAUCUCUCGUUACAUGAUUUGUAAAUUUAGAAGAAUAAUUGAUAAAUAAAAACCAUAAUGCCAUGGUGCCUUAAAUUUCUGAUGGGCCGAUCAUUGUUACUUUUAGGUCGGGAGUAUCCGACGAACCGAAGAUCGAUUGAUGGUGGCAUUCGAAUGAGUAUUGGACUAAGGUGUUUUGAAGGUGAGGUGUUGGUUGGUUUUUAUGGUUUUUUGCAGGGCUUUUGGUGUGAGCAGCGGACAAUAGGUGUUUGUAUUUUGGUUAAGUGGUCAUUCGGGAUGGAGUUUGAAUUUUGGGCUCAAGUUUUAGUUUAUGAUGUUGUGUGGGGGCUUGGCGCUGAUUUGUGAGUUGACAUUGGCUUUGGUGAUAGCCUCAGUUAGGUGGUGUAUUUAUUGGUGUUUUUGAUGUACAAAGUGUGUAAUUUUAUUUUUGGGUGUUCCGCCUAUAUAUGACGCUCUUUGGUGAUAGCCUUAGUGGUGUCUUUAUUGGUGUUUUUGAUGUACAAAGUGUGUGAUUUUUCUUUUGGGUGUUCCGCCUAUAUAUGGCGCUCUUUGCUAUGUUUGAUUCUGUUUUACCGAUUUCUAUUCAUCUUGUGCAAAGACUUGGUUAUCAAUAAAUUCUAUCUGGAAAAAAAUGUCAUGCAUCUGGAAGCGCGUGCACACACACACACAUAUAUAUAUAUAUAUAUAAGCACAUCUGAAGAAAAAAAAUGUCAUGCAUCUUAUGCAAAGACUUAGUGUAUGUUUUCAACAUAGUAUUUAAUACUGAUUGAAGAAAAAGAUAUAAAAUAAAUAAGGAUAUGUUGGUAAAGAAUUACUGAAUGUACUUGAAAAUACCAAAUAUGUCUUAUAAAAAGAGACAAAAAAUUUCUCAAAAGGAUCUUAUAUUUAGGGAUAGAUGUAGUAUUUAUGAAAUAGUCAACGUUUUUUUUUUUUUUGUUACAAGGGAUAAAGGAAAGAAACAAAGAAACUGAAAGACAUGAACAAAAGAAAAAAAAGAAAACAGUCUAAACAGACCUACAAAUAAUUAUCCCUAGGGAAGAAAGUUUCCCUAGCGUCAUUUCUAAGUAGAUCACUCAUUCCCUGAGGCGUAGACAAGUGGAUAAACAACGCAGAAUCUGAAGAAGCUCUUAACUUGGGCAAAAAAAUCAACGCAUUGAUUACCCUCCCGCAAAGUGUGAAAGAUUAAAGUGUUGUUGGAGGAUACCAUAUUCUUUAUAUCUUAAAUGAGAGCAGCAUAAAUAUAAUAUUUUAUGGUUGGACAGGUAAUAAGAUUUAAGCUGAGAAGGAAAUCCGUAUAAAACACAAAUUCAGGAGUAUCCAUUUCUCGAGCCAACAUAAACGUUUUUAAUUUAACACCAAGGGAAUAUCACUUAUCAAUAGGACAAGAGGAUGUAUUUAAAAAUCUCAUCUUUUAACAUAUUCCAAUGAUUUAGGCGAAAUGCGCGUGUUAUCAAUAAUUUUCAUUUUGGGACAAAUGCUCCAUGAGAUUUCCUUUGAAGUUUGAAUUCAACUUCAAAAGUCUUUGCCUCUUAACUCUUAAGGCAACUCCUCCGACCAAUCACAAUCGGCUCUAUAAAACAACAUAAAAAAAUUAAAAGAUAAAAAUAAAGUAGCACUAAAUAAUUUGAACCAUUAAAAUAAAGUAGCACUAAAUAAUAUAUAAAUAAAUAAAUAUCUAUGCACCCACGGGUUAUUCAAGUUCUAGGGUUAGUUGAUUCAAACACAAAAAGAAAAAGAGAAGAAAAAAAAGAAGAAUAAAAAAACACCACGUUUUUCUUUCUAUUUCCUUUCCCUAUUACAUUCACUCACAUGAUAUAUAUAUAUAUAUAUACCCAUCACCCUUCCUCUUCAAUUCAUCCCUUUGUGUCUCAAUAUUCAUCUCUCUCUCUCCAAAAAAAUCUCUCUAGCUCUCUCUUUCUGUUCUUCAAAUAAAAAUCCAACCAAACUAAAUUAAAACAUCAAUAUACAAAAUGGAAAACAACGUACCAAUAAUAACCAAGAGAGUAUGGAGUAUGAUACGUGUGGCUUUGUUCAUGUUAAGAAAAGGCAUAUCAAAGGGAAAACUAAUGAUGGACCUCAACAUGAUGGUUAAACACCGCGGCAAGCUCGCCGGAAAAGCCAUCACCAACCUCAUGUUUCAUCACCACCACGGUGGCUCCACCUCAAGCCGUCGUAACGACACACGCCUCUCUACCACAAGGGAGUAUGAGUUCAGCUGUAGCAACACCCCUAAAUACAAAUUUUCAUUUAACAACAAACGCCACCGCAACAACCACUUCUUCACGUGUGCUCACGCGCCUCUCACACAAGACGAUGACAUUGUUACCGUUAAUGCGGUUAAGGCUGUGUUAGAGAAAAUGGUAAACAAUAAUGAGGUGAUAGGUGAGGCUUCCCCGGUGCUCCCCGGUUCUCGACGAACUCCUAUGACCAGGCAGUUGAUGGUUAAUGACCUUGACACCGAUACGGAUGCCGAGGUAGACAAGGCUGCCGAAGCAUUUAUAAAGAGGUUUUACUUGCAGUUGAAGUAAGAGGAUGGAGUUUUGUUUCACAAUUUUGUUUCUUAACAUUUAAUUAAUGUUACUUUGUGAUUUGUGAUUUAUGAUUUAUGAACAUACAAAGCUGGUAUGCAGUUUUGGAUAGUACUAGCUUCAUGCAUGUCUUUGUGGAACCUUAGGAGAAGAUCAUGGACAUGCAUGAUAAUUUUGUUACUUUAUUUUUUUAUAUAUGUUGAGAGUUUAUUGGCAAAAUUAAUAUCCUCUGUGAAUUUGUCAAAAGAAAUAUGAAAGUUCCAUUUUUAGAGAGAUAUAUAAUCGCAAAAAAUCAAGAUGAAUAAAAUUAAGGUAUCUUGUGUUAAACAUAGUUUGGGUCGGGGACAUAUGUCCUCAAAAUGCUCCAUAGCCCAAACUUGAAAGAAGAAAAAGGUUAAGAACACAUCCAGGGCUGGUCCUAGGAUUUUUCGUGUCCUGGACGAAACAAUAAAUUGUACCCUUUUAAUUAUUUUAAUAUUUUUUUUCUUGCAUUUUUUGUUGAAAAAUAUUCGUUUAUAUAUAAUCAAAGUUAUAUAAAAAUAUAUUUUCAAUAGAAUUAACCAAAGCGAAUUAAAAAAAAAUAAUAUAUCUAUAUAAUACUAACUACUAAAUAAAAAUAAUAAUUUUGGUGCCUCUAAAAAAGUGGUGCCCAGGGCUACCGCCCCUCGUGCCCGCCCUCAGGGCCACCCCUGAACACAUCCAAAAUAUCUUAAAUGUCAUGCAAGCGGUAUAUCUUUAAUGUUAGUAACACAUCAGUCAAAAUAUCUUAAAUAUCAUACAAUAUGAUGAUAUUCUCACCAAUGGAAAAAAUGAAAGCUACUCGUGUCCCUAUGCCACCACUUUGUCAAUGUCGUGCAUGCAUGUGUUCUUAUUAACUUGACCAUAGUUGGUAUCAACAAGGUUUGGUGUUGGCUAGCAGCGGCGUGGUGGCUGGUAUUGGCAUAGUUGGUAGCCUUUUGGAGCUUUUUUGGUUUUUAGGAUCUUAUUGUGUUUCUUUAGUGCUUUUGGGAGUUUACUACUAAAACAAUGCUAGUUUUCUUGUCUUAGCCCAAUUCGAUAACAUUUUGUAUUCGCAUUUGUGUAUUAUCUUAAAAUUUUCCCUUUGAAAAAAAACAUAAAAUUAGUAUUAUAUAUGUAAAGAAAACAUAAAUAUGAUUAUAUUUUUAUAUACUACUCUGACCCAUAUCUUGACUGCAAUGUGCUUACAAAAAUUUGGCAUGAGUGACAUAUGAGAAGGAUCAACACCAAUUCUAUUAUUAGCGUCCUCUGGUGGCGGUUGUGGUGGGUUAUGUGGUGGAGAGCCUUCAGCCGAGUCUGUAACUUUUGUAUGUCCCUACGCAUGAAAUUGUGCAAUAUCUCCCUUCAUGUCUACCAACAUCGUCCACCAUAUCUAGAGCUACCAACAAAAAGAGACAAAUUAAUCAUUAAAGUAUUUCAUCAAACAUAUAGAGCUAAAAAAACAACAUUUACAUUUCUAAUUAGCAUUUGAAUACCACAUUUCGCUAGUUCAAACCCUAAAAUACAUUCACAUUCACAUCCUAACUACUUGAUCAACAACAACAAAGUUCUGAACUACAUUCACAUUCAAAUUCUAAAAUAAACCCUAUCUCGCAACAAACACAAAAUGAGAGAAAAUAAACAUUUGUUGGGUUUAAGAAGAAAUGUCAAAAUAAAUACAAUUUCUUCGACCCUAGGUUGAUGAAAAUCAAUUGUUGAACUAUAAGAAUGUUUGGAUAUAAAGAAUUCAAAGUAAACGCAUAUAAGAACAAGUCUUUUAUUCUUGUAUAAGGCUGAUGUAGAUUGGAACGUAACCCUUUGUCGUUAUAUAAAGGAGAAUUUUGGGAUAACGUGUAAGCAAUUCAAAGGUUACAUGGAGAACCUUUCAAAGUUUGUAAUCUUAUUAUGAUUUUUUUUGUUUGUUUUGCGGUUUAUGUUUUUUAUUCUUAGAAAAUAGGUCUUUCAUCUCUUAAAAAUUCAUUUUAUUUUAAUUACAUUUUUAUUAUAUAUCAGAAUGUUAGAAUAUUAGCGAGUAUGUAGCAAUAACAAUCUUUAAAAAAUUUAUAGAAUUAAAAAAAUCAUGAAAAAUUUAGUUAAAAAUCAUACUAAAAGAAUCUAAGAAAAUGCACCUAAGUUUAUAAAAGGGUUAAUGGUACUUUAUCCCCCUGUAAUAUAGGUUAUUUUUGGUUUUCCCCCCUGUAAAAUAUUUUUUUUUAUUUACCCCUUGUAAAUUUUUUUUUUGAAUACCCCCUAAUAGGUCAUAAAAAAACGACUUUAUUUUUUUUUUUGCAGAAUUUUUUCGUUUUUUUAUGACCUAUUAGGGGGUAUUCCAAAAAAAAAAAAAAUUACAGGUGAGUAAAUCAAAAAAAAUAUUUUACAGGAGGGAAAACUAAAAAUGACCUAUAUUACAAGGGGUUAAAGCACCAUUAAUCCUUUAUAAAAUGUACACAAUAUCACGUUAGAUUCAACUUCAAAGUCUUACCUCUUAACUCUUAAGGCAACACCCCUCACCAAUCAUACUCAGUUAAACUAAAUAAAAUAAAAUAAAAAAAAAAGCUAAAACUAAAGUAGCACUAAAUGAUAAAUAUCUAUGUACCCACACCACGGGUUAUUCAAAAGUUCUAGGGUAGGUUGAUUCAAUCACACAAAAAAAAAAACACGUUUUUCUUUCUCCUCUUUUUCCCCAUUACAUUCACAUAUAUAUACACCCAUUUCCCUUCCUCUUCAAUUCAUCCCUUUCUUUGUGUUUCAAUAUCUCUCUCCAAAAAAUAAAAUCUCUCUAGCUAUACCUCUUUCUUUCCUUCAAAUUAAAUUAAAACAUCAAUAUACAAAAUGGAAAACAACGUACCAAUAAUAACCAAGAGAGUAUGGAGUAUGAUACGUGUGGCUUUGUUCAUGUUAAGAAAAGGUAUAUCAAAGGGAAAACUAAUGAUGGACCUCAACAUGAUGGUCAAACGCCGUAGAAGCUUGCCGGAAAAGCCAUCACCAACCUCAUGUUUCAUCACCACCAUGGUGGCUCCACCUCAAGCCGCCGUAAUGACACACGCCUCUCUACCACAAGGGAGUAUGAGUUCAGCUGCAGCAACACACCCAACUACAAAUUUGCCCUAAACAACAAGCGUCAUAACUUCUUCACGUGUGCUCACGCGCCUCUCACAAAAGAAGACGACAUUGUAACCGUUAAUGCGGUUAAAGCUGUGUUGGAGAGCAUGGUAAACAAUAAUGAAGUAAUUGUCGA